This 1065-nucleotide long non-coding RNA is filed under the name Capra hircus (goat). RNAcentral describes it as "lncRNA (ENSCHIG00010000129.1)". The record is from RNAcentral. Lineage: Eukaryota; Metazoa; Chordata; Mammalia; Artiodactyla; Bovidae.
UGCAAUGAACUGAUAUAAAACAUGAGGCAUUUCACCAUAGAAUUAAAACAUGGUGAUGUGGUAGGGUGAGGUGGGCUAUUUCAGAUUGAGUGACCAAGAAAAGCUUCUAAGAGGAGAUAAGAUAUAAACUGAUUCAGGAAUAACUACUGAUUAGCAGAGAAGAUGCAGGUGGGAAUGGGCUUGGGAUGUGUGAAGAGCUGGAAGGCUGAUGUGGCCAAUGGCUCAAGGAGAGGAGAAAAAUUUGAGAGGGAGGCAGGACCAGAACAUUGUGGGUUUAGCAGGCCAAAGAGAAGUAAAGAUUUUAUCCUACAUUGAGGAUUUAUAGUCCAUAUAGACUUUGUUUUUAUAUGUAAUAUGGUAUGUGUGUAGGGGGAGUCUAACUGUCCAUUUGCUUUCAAAUGGAGAGUUCUAUUUUAAAUAAACUAUUCAUUAUUUGCAGGUGGUGGUGGGAACUAGGGUGAUAUUCUACAGAAUCUCACCCCAUUUCAAACACUGUACAGAUAACAUUACUAAAUAAAAUAUUUUUUCAAUUGAAAUUAAACAUAGAACAAGUGUAAUUUUUGUUUUGUGUUGUUUUGCUUUUUUUGUUUUUGUUCUUGUUUUGGAUUUUGGCCAUGCAAUGUGGGAUGCAGGAUCUUAAUUCCCUGACCAGGGAAUGAACCCAUGCCCUCUGCUGUGGAAGUGCUGAGUCCUAACCACUGGAUAAUCAGGAAAGUCCCCAUGAGUAUAUAAUAUUUUUAUCUCAGAGCUGUGACUAUUCAACAAAUCUUUCUAGAACUGCUUUUAAGAAACAUGGUCAGAAGCAGUUUUUAAGUCAUCUCGAGUUAGUACAGAUCAGUCACUCAGUCAUGUCCGACUCUUUGUGAUCCCAUGGACUGUAGCUCGCCAGGCUUCCAAGUCCAUCAAAAACUCAUGGAGCCUGCUCAAACUCAUAUCCAUUGAGUCGGGGAUGCCAUCCAACCAUCUCAGACUAUGUCGUCCCCUUUUCCUCCUUCCCUCAAUCUUGCCCAGCUUCAGGGUCUUUUCCAAUGAAUCAGUUUUUUGCAUCAGGUGGCCAAAGUAUUG